AGUGGCGGACGGGUGAGUAACGCGUAAGAAUCUAACUUCAGGACGGGGACAACAGUGGGAAACGACUGCUAAUACCCGAUGUGCCGCGAGGUGAAACCUAAUUGGCCUGAAGAAGAGCUUGCGUCUGAUUAGCUAGUUGGUGGGGUAAGAGCCUACCAAGGCGACGAUCAGUAGCUGGUCUGAGAGGAUGAGCAGCCACACUGGGACUGAGACACGGCCCAGACUCCUACGGGAGGCAGCAGUGGGGAAUUUUCCGCAAUGGGCGAAAGCCUGACGGAGCAACGCCGCGUGAGGGAGGAAGGUCUUUGGAUUGUAAACCUCUUUUCUCAAGGAAGAAGUUCUGACGGUACUUGAGGAAUCAGCCUCGGCUAACUCCGUGCCAGCAGCCGCGGUAAUACGGGGGAGGCAAGCGUUAUCCGGAAUUAUUGGGCGUAAAGCGUCCGCAGGUGGUCAGCCAAGUCUGCCGUCAAAUCAGGUUACUUAACGACCUAAAGGCGGUGGAAACUGGCAGACUAGAGAGCAGUAGGGGUAGCAGGAAUUCCCAGUGUAGCGGUGAAAUGCGUAGAGAUUGGGAAGAACAUCGGUGGCGAAAGCGUGCUACUGGGCUGUAUCUGACACUCAGGGACGAAAGCUAGGGGAGCGAAAGGGAUUAGAUACCCCUGUAGUCCUAGCCGUAAACGAUGGAUACUAGGCGUGGCUU
RNAcentral lists this ribosomal RNA (700 nucleotides) under uncultured bacterium. RNAcentral's name for it is "bacterial SSU rRNA". It matches the Rfam family "Bacterial small subunit ribosomal RNA", at positions 94 to 828 of the family's 1533-position model. The record is from RNAcentral.